RNAcentral lists this ribosomal RNA (468 nucleotides) under uncultured bacterium. RNAcentral's name for it is "partial 16S ribosomal RNA". It matches the Rfam family "Bacterial small subunit ribosomal RNA", at positions 28 to 507 of the family's 1533-position model. The record is from RNAcentral.
GACGAACGCUGGCGGCGUGCUUAACACAUGCAAGUCGAACGGAAAGGCCCUGCUUUUGUGGGGUGCUCGAGUGGCGAAGGGGUGAGUAAAACGUGAGUAACCUGCCCUUGAAUUUGGGAUAACUUCAGGAAACUGGGGCUAAUAUCGGAUAGGAGCUCCUGCUGCAUGGUGGGGGUUGGAAAGUUUCGGCGGUUGGGGAUGGACUCGAGGCUUAUCAGCCUGUUGGUGGAGUAGUGGCUGACAAAGGCUUUGACGGGUAGGCGACCUGAGAGGGUGACCGGCCACCUUGCGACUACGAGAGGCCGCAGUCUCCUACGUUACGCAACAGUGGAGAAUCUUGCACAACAGGCGGAAGUCUGUUGCAGCAGCGCCCGGUGCGUAAUACCCUCCUUCGAGUGAUAAACCGCUUUCUCAUUUGCCAAACCGUUAUUGGCGGUAAUGGGUCAAGAAGCCACGGCUAACUACGUG